Molecule: ribosomal RNA, 478 nt
Filed under: uncultured bacterium
Lineage: Bacteria
Description: SSU rRNA
Rfam family: Bacterial small subunit ribosomal RNA
Source: RNAcentral
AGGACGAACGCUGGCGGCGUGCUUAACACAUGCAAGUCGAACGGUGAACCCUUCGGGGGGAUCAGUGGCGAACGGGUGAGUAACACGUGAGCAACCUGCCCUUGACUCUGGGAUAACCCCGGGAAACCGGAGCUAAUACCGGAUAUGACGCAUGGAGGCAUCUCUGUGUGUGGAAAGAUUUAUUGGUCAGGGAUGGGCUCGCGGCCUAUCAGCUUGUUGGUGGGGUAAUGGCCUACCAAGGCGACGACGGGUAGCCGGCCUGAGAGGGCGACCGGCCACACUGGGACUGAGACACGGCCCAGACUCCUACGGGAGGCAGCAGUGGGGAAUAUUGCGCAAUGGGCGAAAGCCUGACGCAGCGACGCCGCGUGAGGGAUGAAGGCCUUCGGGUUGUAAACCUCUUUCAGCAGGGAAGAAGCGAGAGUGACGGUACCUGCAGAAGAAGCACCGGCUAACUACGUGCCAGCAGCCGCGGUAA